GACGAACGCUGGCGGCGUGCUUAAACUAUGCGAGUCGUGCGGGACUUUACGACGAUCCGCAAGGUGAGAUGUAAAGUUUAGCGGCGAACGGGUGAGUAACGCGUGAGUAACCUGCCCACGGGACCGGGAUAACUUCGAGAAAUCGGGGCUAAUACUGGAUAUGAAAUUUGCUUGCAUGAGCGAAUUUGUAGAGGAGCAAUCCACCCGCGGAGGGGCUCGCGUUCUAUCAGCUUGUUGGUGGGGUAACGGCCUACCAAGGCUAUGACGGAUAGCCGGCCUGAGAGGGUGACCGGCCACACUGGGACUUAGACACGGCCCAGACUCCUACGGGAGGUAGCAAGUGGGAAUUUUGCACAAUGGGCGAAAGCCUGAUGCAGCGACGCCGCGUGAGGGAUGAAGGCCUUCGGGUCGUAAACCUCUGUUGAUGGGGAAGAAAAAAUGACGGUACCCAUCGAGGAAGCCUCGGCUAACUCCGUG
Molecule: ribosomal RNA, 477 nt
Filed under: uncultured bacterium
Lineage: Bacteria
Description: bacterial SSU rRNA
Rfam family: Bacterial small subunit ribosomal RNA
Source: RNAcentral